ACCACAUUGAAAGCAAUGUCACAAGUGAGGUAAUAUUCACAUAACCCAUGUAAUACAUAAGGGAAAAAAUACUUAGUUGGCUUACAAUCGCCACUUCACACAAUUACAUGAAUAAAGCAUUACAACAUCCAAAUACAAUCAAGGUCCGACUACGAAACCAAAAUAAAAGAAGAACCCCAAAUGCGACAAGGCCCCCGAUCGACCCCAAUUGGGCUCCACUACUGAUCAACUAGAACGAAACAACACAACGGACAAGAUCUACAUCAAGCUCCUCCUGAGCUUGGUUGCGUAUCUGCACGGACUCAUCGGCACCUGCAAGCUGGUUUGGAAGUAUCUGUGAGUCACGGGGACUCAGCAAUCUCACACCCUCGCGAUCAAGACUAUUUAAGCUUAUAGGUAGGGUAAAAGGUAUGAGGUGGAGCUACAGCAAGCGACUAGCAUAUAUGGUGGCUAACAUACGCAAAUGAGAGUGAGAAGAGAAGGCAAGGCACGUUCGAGAAUCUAUGAUCAAGAAGUGAUCCUAGAAUAACCUACGUCAAGCAUAACUCCAACACCGUGUUCACUUCCCGGACUCCGCAGGAAAGAGACCAUCACGGUUACACACGCGGUUGAUGCAUUUUAAUUAAGGUCAACUUCAGGUUUUCUACAACUGGACGUUAACAAAUUCCCAUCUGCCCAUAACCGCGGGCACGACUUUCGAAAGUUCAAAUCCCUGCAUGGGUGUCCCAACUUAGCCCAUCACAAGCUCUCACGGUCAACGAAGGAUAUUCCUUCUAGCGGGAAGACCCGAUCAGACUCGGAAUCCCGGUUACAAGACAUUUCGACAAUGGUAAAACAAGACAUCCUCGACAAUGGUAAAACAAGUCCAGCAACACCGCCUGAAUGUGCCGACAAAUCCCGAUAGGAGCUGCACAUAUGUCGUUCUCAGGGCACACUCAGAUGAGCAGUCCGUACAACUAAAACCAGCCCUCGAGUUUCCCCGAGGUGGCGCUGCAAGGGGCUCUAGUUUGGACCAACACUCAGAGGAGCACUGGCCCGGGGGGGGGGGGGUUAAAAUAAUGAUGACCCUUGAGUCUGCAGAACCCAAGGGAAAGAAAAGCCUAGGUGGCAAAUGGUAAAACCAAUGUUGGGCAUUGUUGGAGGAGUUUUAUUCAAGGCGAACUGUCAAGGGGUUCCCAUUAUAACCCAACCGCGUAAGGAACGCAAAAUCCGGGAACAUAACACCGAUAUGACGGAAACUAGGGCAGCAAGAGUGGAACAAAACACCAGGAAUAAGGCCGAUCCUUCCACCCUUUACCAAGUAUAUAGAUGCAUUAAUUAAAUAAGAUAUAUUGUGAUAUCCCAACAAAAAUAUCCAUGUUCCAACAAGGAACAAACUCCAAUCUUCACCUGCAACUAACAACGCUAUAAGAGGGGCUGAGCAAAGCGGUAACAUAGCCAAACAACGGUUUGCUAGGACAAGGCGGGUUAGAGGCUUGGCUUAACAAUAUGGGAGGCAUGAUAAGCAAGUGGUAGGUAUCGUAGCAUAGGCAUAGAAAAAUAGCGAGCAAUUAGCAAGCAAAGAUAGAAGUGAUUUCGAGGGUAUGGUCAUCUUGCCUGAAAUCCCGCAAGGAAGAAGAACGAGUCCAUGAAGAAGACAAACAGACGUAGUCGAAUGGGUCCUCACAAACGCGACGUUACCGGAACCAACCCGAAGAAGCAAACACCAGAAAGAAGCAGACAACGUAGUAAAGAAACCACACAUGAACAUGGUAUGAUAUGCGGGAUGCGGUAUGCGAUGCAUAUGCAUGGUUUGCAAAGGAAUGAUUGAACCUGGCCUCAACUUGGAAAUCCAAGAGUGCCACUGGAAAGGUGAGGUGAUUUCGGUUGAAAUUGAUAUAAAGAACACCGGAAUCGGAGACACGGUUUGGAAAUGGCAAGCAAUUCAAAUAUGGCACCGGUCUGCGAUAAACAGCAAGUAGCCAUCUAAAUGCAACAAGUUAAACAUGCUAAAACACUCAAACAUGGCAACAAAAUACAUGGCAUGGAUCCAUUCAUGAAGGUUAACAAAAGAUGAACACUGAGCUACGGCCAAUUCAUCCAUUAACAGGUUCAAACAAGCAUGGCAAAAGAGCAAUUGGUAAACAGAUUUCAGACUUAGUGAAAUAAACACUUGUCUGGAAUUUCAGAUCAGGUAGCACACUUUGAAGCAUGAAAACUAUAUGCUACAAGAACUUAACAUGGCAAAGUAAGGCAUGGAAUGGAGCUACUCAAAGAGCUUAACAAAAGUCCCUUAGUGACCUUGAGCCAAAAGGGAUCAGAAAAUACAAUUGUAAGCAUGUGAACAUGGCAAAAACAUAAUCAGAUCACAGACUUAGUGAAAACUGGAGCAUGCAAAUCGGAUAUCAAGUAGGCAUGUUUACGAGCUCGAUGCACUCACUACAGAGCAAGGCAUGACAAUCUAAGCAUACACACAUCAAGAAUACACAUUAUUCAAGCUAUACAUGGCAAGAACAACAACAUAGCAUGCAUGGAUCAACAACAACAUCCGCGGCAAAAUUGCUAACAAGUAGACAAUCUGCCAGGAUUCACGAAAUAGCAAAAGUAGAGCUCGAUUGACUCAAGCUAGGGUGCUCCAUAAUUGCAAACAAAGACAUGGACGGAUAGAGCACUACAAUAUUAACAAAUCAUCCUUACUGAUCAUCCUCAAAAGAGGCACGGAUCACUAGGAAACAACAUGAACAUAUGGUAUAUUGAUAAAAACAGAUCAAGGACUUAGAGAAAUUCUAAGUCCCUAAAAUCAGCAUUAAGGAAUGCACUACUUUGCAAGCUUGUGCUAGUCACCACACACAUCACAAAAAUACAUGGAUAGCACCUCUGGAAAGAUGGCAUGGCAUAUAGCAAAACACAUGUAGAGCUCACGGGAAUAUCAUGCACACAUAAAUCAUGACAAAAAUGACAAAUAGCUAUUUGGUGCAGCAGAUCUGACAAUUAACUCAAGUAGCUCUCUUCCAACCACAUUUCGGGCAUCAAGAUGAGCUCAAAUUAAAAUGAUGCAAAGGUAUGAAAUGGUGUACUCUCUAAGAUGAACAUUUUGAUAUGCUACACGCCCAAAACGGAGCUACGGAUGCAAAGUUACGACAUGAUGAACAUGGGCAUAUGAAUCUGAGAAUUUCGGGGACUUAGCCGAAAUUAUACCUCCGAGAACAGAUCUAGGGUUUCCAGAUCGGAUCGGGCCAGAUUUGCACGUGGAUCGAUGCCGACCGGAGCUUCGCCGGAACAGGGCGCCGGAGUCGAGGAAGAGGGAGGAGAGGUCGCCAGCCUUGCCUCCGGUGGCCGGAGACGGAGGAGGGCGGCGCGCGCGACGAGGGGGCGACGAGGGACGCGGUGGCCGGUCGGGGUGACACCGGAGUAGCAGCUCGCCGACGAGAGGCGCGGUGAGGGCGGCAGCCGGUUGGGCGCGGGCAGCGCUCGGCNNNNNNNNNNNNNNNNNNNNNNNNNNNNNNNNNNNNNNNNNNNNNNNNNNNNNNNNNNNNNNNNNNNNNNNNNNNNNNNNNNNNNNNNNNNNNNNNNNNNNNNNNNNNNNNNNNNNNNNNNNNNNNNNNNNNNNNNNNNNNNNNNNNNNNNNNNNNNNNNNNNNNNNNNNNNNNNNNNNNNNNNNNNNNNNNNNNNNNNNNNNNNNNNNNNNNNNNNNNNNNNNNNNNNNNNNNNNNNNNNNNNNNNNNNNNNNNNNNNNNNNNNNNNNNNNNNNNNNNNNNNNNNNNNNNNNNNNNNNNNNNNNNNNNNNNNNNNNNNNNNNNNNNNNNNNNNNNNNNNNNNNNNNNNNNNNNNNNNNNNNNNNNNNNNNNNNNNNNNNNNNNNNNNNNNNNNNNNNNNNNNNNNNNNNNNNNNNNNNNNCGGGAUCUGUCAGCGGCGGAGAUGGGCCCCGCGGGCCCGAUCCGGGCCGCGCGGGCCGGCGGCGGGGCUGGAGGAGAGGGAAGGCGGCGGAGAUGACGUGUCAAGCUGGAAUUUGCCGGCGGCGACAGUUGGACAUGUCCGGGCGCGGGAAUUUUGUCCGGCGGCGCGAGAGGAACGGGGCUAGGGUUUGGACUGCGCGAAAAAUCGGGGAGAGCCACAUAUUUAUAGGUGGAGAGAGCUAGGAGAGUCCAAAUGAGGUGCGGUUUUCGGCCACGCGAUCGUGAUCGAACGACCGAGAUGAUGGAGGGGGUUUAGGUGGGGUUUGGGACACUUAGAAGGGGUGUUGGGCUGCAACACACACGAGGCCUUUUCGGUCCCUCGGUUAACCGUUGGAGCAUCAAACGAAGUCCAAAUGGUACGAAACUUGACAGGCGGUCUACCGGUAGUAAACCAAGGCCGCUUGGUAAGUAUCGGUCCAAUUCGGAAAUGUUUAAUCCCCACACACGAAAAGAAGGUAGAAAAGGCCACCGGAUGACAUAGGAGCGCUGGAUUGCAAAAUGGACAACGGGGAAAAUGCUUGGAUGCAUGAGACGAACAUGUAUGCAAAUGCAAUGCACAUGAUGACAUGAUAUGCAAUGCAUGACAUGCAAGCAAUGACAAGACAACAACAGCGAAUAACUGGAGGACACCUGGCACAUCUGUCUUGGGGCGUUACAGUGGACGACGGCAAUUUUGAGCCAAAGGCACCCGAGGAAGCGCGUCGAUGCUACGGCAAUCAAAUAGGCUGCAUUGUACGGACAACCGCCACCAUCAACGAUGAGAAACUACAGAAGAUAGAAAAUAUGAGGAGCUCCCUCCUAAAGAAGUUUCACCAGAUAUUCUUGUUCCCGGGUCAGAAUGAGAAGGAUUAUGAAGAUCCAGAUGAGGGCCCGACAAUGAAGAAGAUAAACAAACACGCCAUGACCAAGUUUAGCGAUGCGUUGGCCGCCUGGAAAAAUCAAGUGAAAGCAAAGAUCAUCGAUAAGAAGGAACCCUACUCCGAGAUUGUAAAGGAUAAUCCAACAAUCACGGAAGAGCAGUUUCAAAUAUUCAAGGAGGCUUGCGAGGCCGAAGCUGCCAAAAAAAAGUCUAAGUACAUGAAGGGGCUUCAAGAGAGGAACAUUGGGAGUCACCACCUCGAAAGCCGUGGUUACGGCAGAAAGGGGUCCAAAUGGGCCAAGGAGGACGCGAAAGCCGCGAGUCUGGGCAUCCUUGACCCCUUGGCGGAUUUCACCGUCCCGCAGGAGCGUGACAUCCUCAGGGCCCGGCACCAUUGGGACCCAGUGAAUAAGGUUUACGAGACAAAACAGGUCAUUACGGAGUUCAUGAGACUGCUGGUAAUUUUAGUUUUUGAUCAAUUCGAUUGCACACGUUAGUCAUAUUUGUAAACGAUCCUUGUGCCCUUUGCAGAGAGAGCAGCACCGGAUUGCGGCCGAAAGCGACUCACCGUCUAAGGCAUUGGCGAGGCCCAAGUGGGACACUCCAUUCAACCGGGCGUUGAACAUAUUGAAACGACAACCGGUGGAUAGUCGACCGUCGUAUGGACGCGUGCACGGUGUCGGAGACGGUGCCACGUGGAAGAAGUACUACCGUGAGACCACGGAGGAGAGAAAGGAAAGACAGAGGUUAACUGAAGAAAACAUCGACAAGAAGGUUGAGAUUGCGGUUGAGAAGAAAUCAUCUCAGACAGUCGCAACAGCGGUAGCUGCCGCAAAACAUGUGGUUGCAUAUUUGUCUACUUCCUUAGUGCGGGCGUUUUCACUUGGACAAGGCAAAUCCAGAAAAAAUGCAGAGGACUUUCCCCUUGCUGACUUCUUGGGGAGCAGCUCGACUACCGUUGCACCAGCACCUGCUCCCGCACCGGCUCCCGCACCUUCUCCCGCACCGGCUCCCGCAUCGGACGUGCUCGAUGGUGCUUCGUCUUUGGCUGAGCUCGACGCCCUCACGGUAUCUGUCACACCGCCCCCUUCAAUAUAAAUGUAUAAUCUCCCGUUUUCGUUGCCUUUCGGAUGUCUCACGUUGCAGACUUUUCUUUGCAGGCCGACGAAACCCCGUGCACCACAUUGUACACCAUCGGUGACCAGAAGGUGGACGUGGGGAAGGCGAUGAUAAUGGAGCCGAAGGAACCAUUGUUCCAUAGCCGGCCGAUCCCCCCGAACGUCUUCAAGGUUUCCGUGGCCAGUGUCAAACCGGGCCAUGAGAAUUUGCCUCCUCCAAUACUAGUGGGGGAUGAUGACGAGACACCACAGUGGCUUGGUGAUUGUUGCAAUGGGUGGGUCCUGUUGUGGCCAAAGAGUUUGCUUCGUCUGGAGGCGGCCGGGAGCACACCCACGAGCACGCAGCCUCAGCAAGGUAUGAACAUCAACACCCCACCUACCCAAUUAGCGUCGGGUGUCGGGUUGGGUGAUAGCGGACGGGGUAAGGAGGAGGCUCCAUUAGUCGCUGAUGACGUCGCCAUGGAUGAGGAUGAGGACGACGAUGGCGCUGAACAGUAUGUCUAUACUAGUGCCUCCUCAGGGUUUGAGCGUCAUGAGUCGGUGCCUGAAUUGCCGUCUCAACGUAUUAUGGACGACCUUUCGGUAGUAAAGAAGUCUAGGAAGAGAGCGAGGAAAGGCAAAAAAAGCUGAUUCUAUGAUCCAGCCGCCUCAGCAGCCUCGGCUUCAGGACCGUAUAGAUAUCCCCGAUGUGGAUAAAUGGUAUAUCCACGGUCAACCAAUCCUACCUGCAACAGCGCUACGGGUCAGAUUCGGCGAUCUAAGGAGAAUUCAUGACGAUGUGCUGCGGGUAGAGAAAGGCCUCAUUGCCUCGAAAGAUCCAGGAUACCCACUCUACGUGGUUAACGUUCCGCAGCAAAUGUCGUACGUCGACAGCUUCCCCGCGGAUAAGUUCUUCCUCCGAUUCGAUUACAUAUUCGACAUGUUUCACGUGAAGAAGCUGGAUUUUACGUUUGUCCGCCUUUAUGCCUUGAACAUGAACUACAUCAUCGGGGUUGAGCAGAUAUCUCAUAUUUGUGUCGCUGACCCGCACUACAUGCACGAGGGCUUCUUGGGAGUCUGCGCAAAGCACCGUGAAUACGCGAGGGAUUACAUCAUCAGUUUCAUGCUCGCCAAUAAGCACAAGGAGGCGAUUCUUGUGCCUUAUCACCCCGUGUAAGUCAUCCGCGCCGCUAUCCUUCCUUCGAUUUCAAUCAUUCAUUUGCAUGGUGGAGGCUAACUAAUUUGAGGUGUACUUAUUUUGCACAGCGGCGGGCGCGCCGUCCUCAUCAUCCUCUACCCCCGAUUCUCCCACGCUCUUUACUUGGACUCGUCGAAGAACAUUCACAAAAAGGAUUACACCCACAUCAAGGAUGUUCUCGACAGUGCUAUGUUUUACUACCAAGCAAGGGGUGGAGAGGUCAGGGACAAGAAGAGAAGGGGCGGCAGGGUCGCCUUCGGCCAUAAGACCGACUUCUGCUGCAUCCAGCAACCGAACGAUUCUCUUAAUGAUGGAUUCUAUGUCCUACACCACAUGCUGGAGUACAGACGGGAUCACCAGAACCUUCGCAUGUCACCUAGAUCCGGCGAUGCCCAUAUUCUGCAAUGGGUAAAGGACAUAGGAGAUAUCGAGGAUCAUCGACUUCGAGCUGAGUUCUAUAACAUCCAGCGCGAGCUUGCCCAAAUCAUCAUGAAGGAGGUCGUCGGAAAAACAGGGAUGUUCUAUGGAGAAGGACAAAUGUCGCGGGAAGACGUCCGAACAUGGAUAGCCUCUCAGUGUCUCGACAUGAAGCCUUUCACUAAGCUCGAGGACUAUCUCCCUGACUUGGAUGGAUGGAACGACAUGUUGGAGUGAUUGUCGAUAUAUGACAAUGUGUCCGUUUAGUCCAUACUUUCUGUAUGACAAAACUUUGAGUUAUGCACGGUGAAACUUUAUUUGUGAUGUAAUUAAACCAUCCUCCUCCUCGACUAGCGAAAAUCACUCUAGUUAGGGCAUUUUGGGGUACGAUGAACUUUGUUAUUUAUGCUUAUGAUAUGUUGUUUCUAUUUUUGCCAAGUAUGUCUCUUUCUGUUGCUCAACUAUAUAUGUUGCAUAUCAUCGACUCAUGUGAUGAUGCAGGUGCAUAGAUCAUAGAUGGCGAAGAAGUGCUACACCAGGAGUAUAUAUACAACAAGUGGCCGGAGUAUCAGGCCCAGGUGUACCAGUUUCCGGUUUCCGAGCGACAGGCAGUAGUUAGUUUAGGUUCACGCUAAUGCGAGAGAGGGAUACGAACGCAUGUACUCAAAGUGAUAGCUCUUCUCGCGUAUAUCAUUGUUUAGAUGGAUGACGAUGUAUUUGCAAGUAAUCGAGACUUGUAUCGCUAUUUUCGAGAUGAUGACGAGAGACCACUUUGUGUUGGAUGAUGAUUAUGAUGAUGACAUGAUUUGAUGAGACUAAUUGUAUGUAUAUGCUAUGAUUACAUUUGUAUGUGUAUGAUAUGCUAAAGAUUAUUGUAUAAAUCCUAUUCAAAUACAAAACAAAUACAAAAGAAAUAUACAGGGAAAAAACUAAUAAAACUAGUAGUAGCGAGGGGGGGGGGGAAUUUAGCAGUAGCGCCGCCUUACCAGUAGCGCUUCCCAGUAAACAACGCUGCAGAUAAUAUCAGCAGCGCCCUUUUCUAAAAAGCGCUACAGCUAUUCAUUUAUAGCAGUAGUGUGGGACAACAGGUGCUACUGCUAUACGUUAGCUGUAGCGCUGGUCCCCGCGCUACUUAGAGGCCCAAAACCCGCGCUGCUGCUAGGCUUUUCCCUAGUAGUGAUAUAACGGUGCGCUCAUAUGUUGUGAAUGGGUUGUGGAAGCAAUUAGAAGCUUCCAUGUCAUUACAACAUAAUAUCAUCAUCUAGAAACCUUGCCCAUUGUAGAACGGUGUUGGUGGGUGGAAUUCACUGUAUAUAAAGGUUCUCGUACACACAACAGAGGGUUCCCUCAUGCGGGUAUGCAUGGUUCUGUGAAUGAAAAACGGAGGUUCCCAUGUAAUCCAAACGAAGCAUGUCUGGCACACAAGGUGCAGCCCCAGGUCAUGUAACUGUGUGGGCUUACUUCUGCAGGUUUGGUAGCUUUGUGCGCCUGGUUAAUAGAGAAUAGUGAAGGCAUCCUUGCUGAGUGUUUACAGAAGCCAUACAAGGUACCCUCAUAUGUUGUAAAUGGCUUUGGAAACUAGAAGUUGUCGUGUCACUACAACACAAUAUCAUCGUCCGGAGAACCUUAUACGGUGAAGGAUGUUGGUGGGUUUAAUGUCCACCCUAUAGAAAAGGUUCUCAUAGAAAAAAAUAGGGUACCAUCAUGCGGGUAUGUAUCGUUCCGACAAUGUAACAUGGAGGUUCGCAUGUAAUCUAGUGAUGCGGUGAUACUAUAUACAACUCUCCCACCCGCCAAUAGUCAUCUCUCUCUCUCUCUCUAAGUCUCCGUCUCUAUCUCUCUAUAUAUAUCACUCUCUUUCGGAUCAUUUAUCAUCUAGACCAACAAGCACGUAACAAAAAGGAGGUCUGCAUAAGAGUGUGCCCUUUGUGGUGGCAGGUAGAACGUGACAUGUCAUUACAACACAAUAUCAUCAUCCAGAAACCUUGCAGUGUCGGUUUGUGUUGGUCUAGAAGGGUGUCCGUGGGUGCAACGUCCGCUAUAUAGAAAAGUUCUCGUUCACACCCAAGAGGGUCUGACAUUGUGGAAUGGAGGUUCUCGUGUAAUAUAAAUGAUGGGGUGAUACUAUACCGCUCUCUGACUCACUAACAAUCCUCUCUCUCUAUACCCCUCUCUCUAAUCCUUUAUCGUCGAGACCAAUGCGUGUGAAACAUAUAAGAGUUAGAGUCCGAGUGAAAAAUGCCACGCGGGGGCACCAUUGUAAGGUUCGGAAAAAUGUGCUUGGUGAGUCCAUAUAACGAUGUGCUCAUAUGUUGUGAAUAGGUUGUGGAAGCAAUUAGAAGUUGCCAUGUCCUUACAACAUAGUAUCAUCGUCCGGAAACCUUGCCCAUUGUAGAACGGUGUUGGUGGGUGCAGCGUCCAUUGUAUAGAAAGGUUCUCGUACACACAACAGAGGGUUCCCCCAUGCGUGUAUGCAUGGUUCUGUGAAUGUAAAAUGGAGGUUCCCAUGUAAUCCAAAGAAGCAUGUCCGGCACACAAAGGUGUUGUCUUGGGUCAUGUAACUGUGUGGGGUUGCUUUUGCAGGCUUGGUGCUUCGUGUGCGUGGACAAUGCGGAAUAGUGAAGCCAUACAACGGUGUGCUCACAUGUUGUGAAUGACUUUGGACAGAAUUAGAUGCUGCCAUGUCAUUAUAACACAAAUAUCGUCAUCCGGAGAACCUUGCACGGUGAAGGGUGUCGGUGGGUGCAAUGUCCACCUAUAGAAAAGGUUCUCGUAGAAAAAACAGGGUGCCUCGACAAUGUGACAUGGAGGUUCGCAUGUAAUCUAGUGAUGUGGUGAUACUAUAUCGCUAAAAUGCGAGUGGAAAAGCAGCGAAGCCAUACAACGGUGCGCUCUAAUGUUGUGAAUGGUUUAUGGAGGCAAUUAGAAGCUAUCAUGUCAUUACAACACAAGAUCGUCAAUGGGAAAACCUUCCACACUUUAGAAAGUUGUCAGUGGGUGCAACGUCGCGGAUGUGCAUGAUCCUAACAAUGUAAAAUGGAGGUUUCCAUGAAAUCUAAAUGAUGUGGUGAUACUAUACCGCUCUCUCAGUCACUACCAAUCCUCUUUCUCUCCCUCUAUCUAUCUACCACACACUCUCUCUCUAAUACUUUAUCAUCUACAAAAACAUGCACCCGCACUCAUAUGUUGUGAAUUGGUUAUGGAGGCAAUUAGAAGUUGCUAUGUAAUUAGAACAAAAUAACAUCCUCCAUACACUUUGCACGGGGUAGAAGGGUGUCGGUGGGUGCAAUAUCCACCAUACUGAAAGGUUCUCAUUCGCACAUAAGAGGGUCCCUCAUGCGGCUAUGCAUGGUCCUGAUAAUAUAAAUUGGAGGUUCUCGUGUAAUCUAAAUGAUGUGGUGAUUUUAGGCUGCUCUCAAACUCACUAACAUUCAUCUAUCUCUCUAUAUAAAUCUAUCGCUCCCUCUCAAAACAUUAGCAUCUAGACCAAGCUCGCAUGCAGCAUAAAAAGGGUUGGUGCCAGUGGAGAGAAAAGGAGAAGUAGAGAGAGAUACACACAUAGAAGAGAUAGAUAGAUAGAUAGAUAAAUGUAGGGCGAGUGAUAUAGUGGCGAAGGAGAUAGAUGAGAGUUCAAAUUAUAAGUAUUGUCGAAAGUGACAACAGUCUGACAAAAGUGAUAUGCUUGAUAAUGAUGAAGGCCCCCCAUUAAUCCCACCUUUUCAACAGAGAUUGUGACUCUGCUAGAUCGAAUGUAUGCAAGCAUGCGACUGCGCUUAGUUUCGUCUGCGGGGAACGAAGUGGCACAAGUGUAAUAAUGUCGAAGGGGGCGAUAUAGUUGUCCCUAGACCACCGACCAGUGUCGAUGUACAUCUAAUUGCUCUUCCCCAUUUUAUGUUUAUGGUCUUGCGGCUUUCAUUAUGAUUCUCGUAUUGUUUGACCAUAUGGCGUAUGUGUGUGUUGGCGAUGGACCCGUCAUGCGGCAUGACCUGCUGUAACCAAUAAAAAAUAUAUUUAGAUUCUCUCAUGGCUUACAUAUAUGACCCAAAUAUUUGGCGUCUGGUCGCUAGGGACAUUAGCUCCUGGUGAUGGUUCAUGCUCAUUCCCCAAAGAGGGUAGGCCAGGGUGACCCCUAAUUGACCCAAAAGGCCCAUUUUAUUAUUAUUUUUGUUUGACAUUGCAACAUAAAACUUUACAAAUAAAAAAUGUCGAGUGAUCUAGAAAUUACUUUUUAACAUGCUAAACUUUAAAUCAGCCAUCAUAUAUGUAAAAAAUACCAUGACCUUUAGCAUCCAUCCUCUGGUUAGAAAACACCAUGAACAAAAAAAAAUGCACAAAACUUAUAAAAUGUCAUGGCCGAAAUAUGAAAAUCGCCGUGCUACUUUAUAAAACUAUCAUCCUUUAGAUAAAAUGUUUUAUCUGGACAAGCCAACAAAAACUACCAAGUCAUAAAAAAAUGCCAUACUCUCAACAUUAAAAAAUGUACUACCUUUGAUCCAUUAGUUCAAAUUUGAACUAAACCACGACACUUAUUUUGAAACGGAGGUAGUAUUUCUUAUAAAAGAGCAUUUCAUAUAAGUUGUGAUGCCAUUAAAAAUAAAAAAUGUCAUAUUCUUAAAAACAUGUCAUGAGUAAAAAAUGCAUUUCUUAUGAAAACAUGAAAAUCUGUCAUGGACCAAAAUAAAAAAUAUCAUGAAGUACUUUUUUUCUCCACUUGGUCCAGUGUGCAAAAUUUCAUAUAAAAAAUGCCAUGCUCUUAAUAAUGAACCGCCGUCCUAUUACCGAUGAAAAAAAUGCUAGUUUAAUAGUACUUAUUAAAAUGCCAAUGUAUUAUAAAUGAAAACUGCCAUGUGAUCUCUUUUAAAAGUCUGGUGGUCAAGAUCAGUACUUGGCAACGAUACAUAAUGUUGCUAGUUUGUAGGUUGUUGGGCAACAAUUAUGUACUUAAAUUGUUGGUCAGGUCUAUAUAGUGGGGGCAGCCACUGUAAUGGUUUAGUGUGGGCGUGAGUUAAUGUCGUUUAACUACGCUGCGCCAGCGGGCGUGAUGUUGUUUUUGCAUCUGCUGAUCCACAGCUAUAUGUGCAUCUGCUGAUUCGAACGGUGAAACCAAAACGCACGAGGGUGCGAUACGACAUCUUCGGUGGCCAUGUAUGAUACGUCCUGAUUCUUGGUCAAGAUCACGAAUGGUCAGGUUCAGAAUCGCAUCCGUGUGUCAUUGAUACACACGCAGUCCCUACUUUCAGCACUUGUACUUCCUGUUAAGACGCAGACACAUCUGUCUGCUUGCCCUGGUUUCUUGGCUUUCUUUUAACCAUGGGCGUCGCAACUGUUCAGAGUAUCUGCUUGGGCGCCUUCCGUUUGUUUUCUGUCUUUUUCCUUGUCCAUAUUAUCCGCAUCAAUCGUCUAAUGGUCUGAGUGCCUGGUGUGUGGUCUUGCUGCGUGGUUGUCGAUCGUUUUGAUCCAAUCUCGGCUCUGCGGUGGAUGCAUGCAUCUAGUGCAAAAAGAAAAUCGAGUGGAGCAAUGUAAAGAGCAUUAACUACCAUUGCAUCUAACUGUCUCAUAAGAAAAAACGCUAAACGCAUUCAUACAGAAAAUUCAAGCAGCAACAUGAUUUAAGGGGGCUUACUCUUUAGGUUGUCGACGUCCUGCGUCUGCACAGCGCCCCGUUCUCCCCCGUACGCAAACAUCAUCGUCUAGGUCGCUACUUGCCCGGCUGGUCGUCGCCGCUGCUAGCUGUCUCUGGGGCAUGGUCGAGCAGUCAGUGCAUGGGUCGCCUUGGGCCUCCCCACCGCUCGGCGCUGCUACUUGAUGCGACCGGCGGCUCGACCUCCGCGGCAGCUCUCUCUCUGGACCUCACUGCGGCAGC
RNAcentral lists this long non-coding RNA (13369 nucleotides) under Triticum aestivum (bread wheat). RNAcentral's name for it is "long non-coding RNA (TAES_LNC014730)". The record is from RNAcentral. Lineage: Eukaryota; Viridiplantae; Streptophyta; Magnoliopsida; Poales; Poaceae.